This 72-nucleotide transfer RNA is filed under the name Ruellia brittoniana. RNAcentral describes it as "tRNA-Met". The record is from RNAcentral. Lineage: Eukaryota; Viridiplantae; Streptophyta; Magnoliopsida; Lamiales; Acanthaceae.
UGCGGAGACAGGAUUUGAACCCGUGACCUCAAGGUUAUGAGCCUUGCGAGCUACCAAACUGCUCUACCCCGC